CCUACGGGAGGCAGCAGUGGGGAAUAUUGCACAAUGGGGGAAACCCUGAUGCAGCAACGCCGCGUGAGUGAAGAAGUAUUUCGGUAUGUAAAGCCCUAUCAGCAGGGAAGAAGAUGACGGUACCUGAUCAAGAAGCCCCGGCUAACUACGUGCCAGCAGCCGCGGUAAUACGUAGGGGGCAAGCGUUAUCCGGAUUUACUGGGUGUAAAGGGAGCGUAGACGGCAGCGCAAGUCUGGAGUGAAAUGCCGGGGCCUAACCCCGGGACUGCUUUGGAAACUGUGGAGCUGGAGUGCAGGAGAGGUAAGUGGAAUUCCUAGUGUAGCGGUGAAAUGCGUAGAUAUUAGGAGGAACACCAGUGGCGAAGGCGGCUUACUGGACUGUAACUGACGUUGAGGCUAGAAGGCGUGGGGAGCAAACAGGAUUAGAUACCCGAGUAGUC
Molecule: ribosomal RNA, 440 nt
Filed under: uncultured bacterium
Lineage: Bacteria
Description: partial 16S ribosomal RNA
Rfam family: Bacterial small subunit ribosomal RNA
Source: RNAcentral